This 513-nucleotide ribosomal RNA is filed under the name uncultured bacterium. RNAcentral's name for it is "bacterial SSU rRNA". It matches the Rfam family "Bacterial small subunit ribosomal RNA", at positions 28 to 585 of the family's 1533-position model. The record is from RNAcentral.
AACGAACGCUGGCGGCAGGCUUAACACAUGCAAGUCGAACGCCCGUAGCAAUACGGGAGUGGCAGGCGGGUGAGUAACGCGUGGGAAUCUCCCCAAAGGUACGGAACAACUCAGGGAAACUUGAGCUAAUACCGUAUGUGCCCGAGAGGGCAAAGAUUCAUCGCCUUUGGAUGAGCCCGCGUUGGAUUAGCUAGUUGGUGGGGUAACGGCCUACCAAGGCGACGAUCCAUAGCUGAUCUGAGAGGAUGAUCAGCCACACUGGGACUGAGACACGGCCCAGACUCCUACGGGAGGCAGCAGUGGGGAAUCUUGGACAAUGGGCGAAAGCCUGAUCCAGCCAUGCCGCGUGAGUGAAGAAGGCCUUAGGGUUGUAAAGCUCUUUUACCCGGGAAGAUAAUGACGGUACCGGGAGAAUAAGCCCCGGCAAACUUCGUGCCAGCAGCCGCGGUAAUACGAAGGGGGCUAGCGUUGUUCGGAUUUACUGGGCGUAAAGCGCACGUAGGCGGAUUGGUU